Molecule: ribosomal RNA, 460 nt
Filed under: uncultured bacterium
Lineage: Bacteria
Description: partial 16S ribosomal RNA
Rfam family: Bacterial small subunit ribosomal RNA
Source: RNAcentral
CCUACGGGUGGCAGCAGUGGGGAAUAUUGCGCAAUGGACGAGAGUCUGAACCAGCCAAGUAGCGUGAAGGAUGACUGCCCUAUGGGUUGUAAACUUCUUUUAUAUGGGAAUAAAAUGUUCCACGUGUGGGAUUUUGUAUGUACCAUAUGAAUAAGGAUCGGCUAACUCCGUGCCAGCAGCCGCGGUAAUACGGAGGAUCCGAGCGUUAUCCGGAUUUAUUGGGUUUAAAGGGAGCGUAGGUGGAUUGUUAAGUCAGUUGUGAAAGUUUGCGGCUCAACCGUAAAAUUGCAGUUGAAACUGGCAGUCUUGAGUACAGUAGAGGUGGGCGGAAUUCGUGGUGUAGCGGUGAAAUGCUUAGAUAUCACGAAGAACUCCGAUUGCGAAGGCAGUUCACUGGACUGCAACUGACACUGAGGCUCGAAAGUGUGGGUAUCAAACAGGAUUAGAUACCCCAGUAGUC